RNAcentral lists this non-coding RNA (101 nucleotides) under Roseovarius sp. RNAcentral describes it as "TPP sequence". It matches the Rfam family "TPP riboswitch aptamer (THI element)". From Rfam's summary of the family: Vitamin B(1) in its active form thiamin pyrophosphate (TPP) is an essential coenzyme that is synthesised by coupling of pyrimidine and thiazole moieties in bacteria. The previously detected thiamin-regulatory element, thi box was extended, resulting in a new, highly conserved RNA secondary structure, the THI element, which is widely distributed in eubacteria and also occurs in some archaea. The record is from RNAcentral. Lineage: Bacteria; Pseudomonadati; Pseudomonadota; Alphaproteobacteria; Rhodobacterales; Roseobacteraceae.
GCGCAUCCGUUGGGGUGCCCCCUGGGGCUGAGAGGCAGCGAUGCCAACCCACCGAACCUGAUCCGGCUCGCACCGGCGUAGGGAACGGAGAUUGCGCGCCC